This 61-nucleotide ribosomal RNA is filed under the name Cetraria islandica. Its description in RNAcentral is "partial 23S ribosomal RNA". It matches the Rfam family "Eukaryotic large subunit ribosomal RNA", at positions 1 to 59 of the family's 3401-position model. Lineage: Eukaryota; Fungi; Ascomycota; Lecanoromycetes; Lecanorales; Parmeliaceae. The record is from RNAcentral.
AUUGACCUCGGAUCAGGUAGGGAUACCCGCUGAACUUAAGCAUAUCAAUAAGCGGAGGNAA